This is a non-coding RNA of Pelodiscus sinensis (Chinese soft-shelled turtle), 588 nucleotides long. Lineage: Eukaryota; Metazoa; Chordata; Testudines; Trionychidae. The record is from RefSeq and is a predicted model, not a curated record.
CCCUGACUCCCGCAGCUCAUCCACACACAUCUAGCUCCUGCACCUUACCCUACACUGGAGGACAGCAAGAUAAGGACAAGGCAGGCACUUCUAAAGAGCUGUAACCACUUCAUUAUAAUUAAGUGAGCCACUGAGGAGCUAGGCCUGAAGGUUCAGGGUGUGGAGAUGAGGAUGCUGAAGGCGACUACAACAUUGAGUGAGGAGAUGUGGGUGCCGUCGUGGGCUGUCGACUGACAUUUGCAAUAGGACUACACUGGACAACAGAAACCACCAUAUAAAAGAAAGGAGGAUGGCAGAAAUUGAACAAGGCCAGAGAAAGAUAGCAAAGACAAGAUGUAGUGCUGAAAACCACUCCUCCUCUCCUAAUGUUUUUUCCUCCUACUAAGUCUGGUGGCGAGGAAGUCCAGGCAAAUACCAGCUCAAGUAAACCUACUGCACCUGAUGAAAAAGAACACCUUCUUGUAAUUGUGACUUCUGUAGCUACAGUCUCACUUCAUUCCUCUGAAGACUUCCCCUGUGAUGGUAAUAUAAAAAUAUCCUUCUCUGAUGAUCCAGGUGAGUGGGACAUGAUUUUUCAAGAUCUCAUUG